GUCAGGUGAGGUUACUGCUCCCACCUUCCACCUGAGGAAGAUGCUGAUUUUUCAAUCAGGUCUGUUCAAUCAUGUGAUUUUACACAGCGCUUUUCUUCAUCUGUUUGUCAAUGGAGAAAUGAUAAACUGAGAGCCGAAGCUGAAAUUGUGCACGUUAGUCAUUUCUAUUCAUUCAUUCAACAGUAAUUUGUUCUAGAGAUAUAAAAAUGACUCAGACAUAAUUCUGUUAUCCUCACAGAAGUUAUGGUUUACCAGCAGGAGAUGAACAGAAAAUUGCAGUAAAGCAUUGAAGGCACUGCGGAUGAUGCUGCCAGGGGAGAGGAAGUCCAUCUGUGUCUGCUGUGCUGCACUGCUUGAUAAUAUGGCUUAGAUAAUAGAAAUCCAUUACAUCGCUCAAAGGAAGUAAAAAAACUGCUCUCCAAGGAGUAGAGGGAAGCCAAGUAGGAAUUCAAUCUCUGAGCAAGAAUCAGCAUGUGUUUUUUUCCCCGAGAAAGAAGGAAGAAGAUAAAUAAAAGGGCUCCUUGGAUGUUGUCUGACUUGUGCCUGGGGAAUCUUGUGGUCAAGAGAGAAGGCUCCUUUGGAGGUUAAGCAAAGGAAGAUUGCUGCUUUCCCAGAGCGUUUCAGUAAAGGAUGGGCAAUGGAACUCCAGUAGAGAGAGUUCCAUGGAGUAGAACCCUGGAACCCUGAGGACUGACAGUUGCAGGUCCCUCCCUCUGGUUGUGCUAUGUGGGACGCCGCCUCAGCAUGGCCUGACAAGUGGUACCAUGUCUGCACCCAUGAUCCAAACCAGUGAAACCCUGGGCAGCCAAAGUGGAGUGCAUGAACUUAACCACUCAGCCACAGGGCCAGCCCCUUCCAGUGUAUUUUUCAUUUCAUAUAUUUUUUCCCAUAUCUAGAAAUGACCUUUGGGUCUAUUUUAUAGCUUUCAUUUCUCUUCUUAUUAUGCUUAUGUUUUCCUUUACCUUUUUGAAAACAUGGAUCAUAUUUAUAAUAGCUCUUUUAAUGUCCUUCUCUGCUAGUUCCACAAUUACCAUAAUUUCGGGACAUAUUUCUAUUGAUUGAUCCCCACCAUUUAUUGGCCAUAUUAUCCUAACUUGUAAUCAUUUUUUUUAAUUGAAUGCUGGUCAUUGUGAGUUUUAAAGUAUUGAUUGCUGUAUUUUAUUGUAUUCCUUUAGAGAUGGUGUUGGUUUUUUUCCUGGCUUAAGUUUAAGUUAAUAGAAUCAGUUAGAUCCUCUCAAGGUGUUUAAGUUUGGUUAAGAUAAGUCCAGGGAAGGCUUUAGUCCAGGGCCAAUUGAGCCUCAUUGCUAAAGCCGUAUCAUUUAGGAUUAUACCCAAUGUUUGGUCCUGUGUGGGCUCUAAGAAAUGUUCUGCCUACUCCUUUUCAGUGAUUCUUUCUCUGGCUUCAGAUAGUUUCUUCCUAUGCAUACACAGAUCAGACAAAGACUUGGGGAGACCUCUCUGCAGAUCUCCGGGUAUCUUUCUCUGUAGUUCCCGCCUCUCUCUUUCAUUGCCCACAAAUUCUAGCUGUUCUGAGUUCUCUGAACUCUGAUCUCUGUCUCCUCAACUCAGCAAGGUUUCUGGGCUCUGUAUGAGUUCCUUCUUUUUGUUCUGUGUCCUGUAAACUGACUCUAGGCAGUAAAUUGAUGCAGUUGUAGGGCUAACCUUGUUUGUUUCCCUUUUCUCAGGGAUCAUUGUCCUGUGCUGCCUGUUUCACAUGUCUGAAAACUGUUUCUCAUAUAUUCUGUCCAUUUCCUUGUUGUCCUAGAUGGGAACAUAUAUUGGCCCUGACCUUUCACCUUGGCCAGAGCAAAAGAUCUUUAUUCAUUCUUAAAGUUACUGUGGACAAUAAAGAUUCUGAUAUGUUUACUUUACUGACUCAGUUUUAGCCCCAAGUUUUCUUUCUUUUUUGGGGGGGGGGGGGAAGAUUAGCCCUGAGCUAACAUCUGCCACCAAUCCUCCUCUUUCUGCUGAAGAAGAGUGGCCCUGAACUAACAUCUGUGCUCAUCUUCCUCUAUUUUAUAUGUGGGAUGCCUGCCACAGCAUGGCUUGGUAAGUGGUGCAUAGGUCCACAGCCAGGAUCUGACCUGGUGAACCCUGUGCCACCGAAACGUUGUGCGCAAACUUAACUGCUAUGCCACUAGGCCAGCCCCCCCAACUUUUAUUUCAAGCCACACCUACCAACUACCCAGUCAGAAAUUGCUGCUGCUCUUUAUGUAAAUUUCCAGAAAUUCCUUGAUGCUUUGUUACAACUGAAGGAUACAGGAGUUGUCUCCAAGCAAAUUAAGUAUUACCCUGAACCAGAAACAAUCAAAGCUGCCUAUAAAGACUGUUGUGUGACAAUUACAAUGUUCCACUUGUUUUUUUCUGUUAGCCCAAAGAAGAGGCUGUGGAUACCAGUAGAUUUCCCUUUCAGAAAUCUACUAACUGCCAGCCUUAUCUAGGAGCCUCUCAAGAAACGUGCACAGUUACAGACUGGGUUGUACAUGCUGGCCAGCGGGUCUCAGGGCUUCUUUCCAGAGAACAGCCAAAAUGACUACCCCAGGGGGCCUGCCCCACAAGACUGCUAGAGGAGGAAACAAAUCAUUUUCAGAAUUUCUAUCAACAAUCUUUUCCUUGUAACAUUUUUGGUUCAGCCUCAGUAUUGUAUUCAUGUCAUUUUGUUUUGCUUUCUAUUUUUAUUUCUUAUUUCCGGAGCACUUUGCACUGUUGUGGUGACUCAAAUCAAAAAGGAAAAGAAAAAAGGUGUUUUUUUCCUCCUCUCUAUCAUUUUUAUAUCUUAAUCACUUGAUUAAAACUCACCAGCUGAAGAGGAAGUUGCAAUGAACUUUAUUUUUUCUCCAUUAGUUGUAAGCUUCCCUGCCUGAUAUCCAGAUAUAUUUAUUAUUUUGUACAGUGAGGUAUUUCAUUGCAAACCAGAAAUAAAUAUAAAUCCUGUUAGAUGAAAAUCUUUUCUGAAUCAUCACAACUCAGCUGUUUAAAGGGAAUUUCUUGAUUUUUCUACAAUGAUACAAUUCUGUUAAAAAUAAUUCUUGCCGUGUAUUAUGUUUUUGAAAUAUUUUAAUG
Molecule: long non-coding RNA, 3063 nt
Filed under: Equus caballus (horse)
Lineage: Eukaryota; Metazoa; Chordata; Mammalia; Perissodactyla; Equidae
Description: lncRNA (ENSECAG00000044477.1)
Source: RNAcentral